CCCUACGGGGUGCAGCAGGCGCGAAACCUUUACAAUGCACGAAAGUGUGAUAAGGGGAUCCAGAGUGCCUAUACAAAGUAUAGGCUUUUACCAAGAGUAAAUACCUUGGAGAAUAAGUGGUGGGAAAGACUGGUGCCAGCAGCCGCGGUAACACCAGCGCCACGAGUGGCAAUCACAUUUAUUGGGCCUAAAGCGUCCGUAGCGGGUUUGGAAAAUCUCUUGUGAAAUCGUUGAGCUCAACUCAACGGCGUGCAGGAGACACUACUGAACUUGAGACCGGGAGGAGUCAGAGGUAUGUCAGGGGAAGCGGUAAAAUGCAAUAAUCCUUGAUAGACCACCUGUGGCGAAGGCGUCUGACUAGAACGGAUCUGACCGUGAGGGACGAAAGCCAGGGGAGCAAACCGGAUUAGAUACCCGAGUAGUCCUGGCCCUAAACUCUGCGAGCUAGGUGUUGCAUAUUCUCCGUGAAUAUGCAGUGUCGAAGUGAAGAUGUUAAGCUCGCCGCCUGGGAAGUACAGUCGCAAGGCAGAAACUUAUAGGAAUUGGCGGGGGAGCAC
RNAcentral lists this ribosomal RNA (557 nucleotides) under uncultured archaeon. RNAcentral describes it as "bacterial SSU rRNA". It matches the Rfam family "Archaeal small subunit ribosomal RNA", at positions 321 to 879 of the family's 1478-position model. The record is from RNAcentral.